Molecule: long non-coding RNA, 1625 nt
Organism: Saccostrea echinata
Lineage: Eukaryota; Metazoa; Mollusca; Bivalvia; Ostreida; Ostreidae
Exons: 3
Source: RefSeq, a predicted model, not a curated record
AAAGUUGAGGAAAUGAAGAGGAAGAAAUUGAAGAUGAAAAGAAGAGCUCUGGGAGGAAAAAAUUCCAUUUGUAAGAUGUGUGGACAAAAGAAAAACAGCCAUAGAGUGCCAAUGUGGAGUGGAAUAAGUCAGUAUGACUUAAACAUGGUCAAUUGAAGUGUUUGAAUGCCCCUCCAGAAAGCAGAACAAUCUUUGAAUUUGCAGGAAAGAGUAUAAAAUUUGCUGUUAAAAUAUCAUAACAGCUAGACAAAGAUUAAAUAACAACUACAUGUACAUCUAAAGAAUUCUUUUGUCAUAAUAGUGAUUCAUGUGCUAGUACAUGUGACAAGUGCUAUAACGACCUAAUAUAAGUGUGUUUUAGGAGCAUGUUGACUCUAUUGUAAAUGUAUUGACUCCUUAUAUGACCUCAUUUAUAUAUAACAUUAAAUGAAUGGUAGUGUAGUGACUUGAAAUGUGUGUUAGUAGUAUAGCUCGUUAUGUGUGGUAAUUUUGUUAUUUGUUUUACAUGUAUGAUAGUACAUAUAGUAUGGUGACUCAUGUGUUGGGAAUUAAUGUAUAAUUUUAUGUGUGUUACUGGUAUAACUCAUAAUGUGUGUAAAUAUUGUUUUUUGUAAUAUAUAUUUGUAUAGUGUAGUGACUCGACAUGUGUGUUAUGAGUGUAGCUUAUGAUGUGUGGUAAUUUUGUUAUUUGUUAUGUGAGUUGUACAUGUAGUAUGGUGACUGGUGUGUCGGGAUUGUAUAAUUUUAUAUGUGUUACUUGUAUAACUCAUCGUGCGAUUUAAAACUGUUAUUUGUAAGUUAUAUAUUAGAAGUGUAGUGACUCGACAUGUGUGUAAGUAGUGUAGUGACUCAACAUGUGUGUUAGUAGUGUAGUGAAUCAACAUGUGUGUUAGUAGUGUAGCUUAUUAUGUGUGGUAAUUUUGUUAUUUGUUAUGUGAGUCGUACAUGUAGUAUGGUGACUCAUGUGUUGGGAAUGUAUAAUUUUAUGUGUGUUACUUGUAUUGCUCAUCGUGUGAUUUAAAAUUGUUAUUUGUAAGGUAUAUAUCAGUAGUGUAGUGACUCAACAUGUGUGUAAGUAGUGUAGUGUCUUGACAUGUGUGUAAGUAGUGUAGUUACUUGACAUGUGUGUUAGUUCUGUAGUGACUCGACAUGUGUGUUAGUAGUGUAGCUUAUUAUGUGUGGUACUUUUGUUAUUUGUUAUGUGAGUUGUACAUGUAGUAUGGUGACUCAUUUGUUGGGAAUGUAUAAUUUUAUGUGUGUUACUGGUAUAGCUCAUUGUGUGUUUUAAUAUUGUUACAUGUAUUUGUAAUACAUAUUUUGUAUUGUUAUUUUGAUUUGUUUGUUGUACAUGUAGCAUGGGAUUCAUUUUGUGUUGGGAAUGUAGAAUUUUACCUGCGGUAGUGUACAUGUAGCUCAUUUUGUGUGCUAAUAUUGUUAUUUUUAUGUGUAAUAGUCAUGUAGUGACUCAAUAUGUGUGUAAGUAGUGUAGCUCAUUAUGUGUUUUCAUGUUGAGUUAGUUUAGAAGAGUGUUGACUUACUGUGUAAGUUAGAGUAGCCUCUUGCUAUGUGUGAGCAUAAUAUAAAAAGACACUUUUUUAUGAUGUGUACAUGUAUAUAAUUAUUAA